GGAAUAUUGGACAAUGGGCGCAAGCCUGAUCCAGCCAUGCCGCGUGAGUGAUGACGGCCUUAGGGUUGUAAAGCUCUUUCGGCGGGGACGAUAAUGACGGUACCCGCAGAAGAAGCCCCGGCUAACUUCGUGCCAGCAGCCGCGGUAAUACGAAGGGGGCUAGCGUUGUUCGGAAUCACUGGGCGUAAAGGGCGCGUAGGCGGCUUUGUAAGUCGGGGGUGAAAGCCUGUGGCUCAACCACAGAAUUGCCUUCGAUACUGCAGGGCUUGAGACCGGAAGAGGUCAGUGGAACUGCGAGUGUAGAGGUGAAAUUCGUAGAUAUUCGCAAGAACACCAGUGGCGAAGGCGGCUGACUGGUCCGGAUCUGACGCUGAGGCGCGAAAGCGUGGGGAGCAAACAGGA
Molecule: unclassified non-coding RNA, 402 nt
Filed under: plant metagenome
Description: partial contains 5.8S ribosomal RNA, internal transcribed spacer 2, and large subunit ribosomal RNA
Rfam family: Bacterial small subunit ribosomal RNA
Source: RNAcentral